Molecule: transfer RNA, 76 nt
Filed under: Rubrivivax sp.
Lineage: Bacteria; Pseudomonadati; Pseudomonadota; Betaproteobacteria; Burkholderiales; Sphaerotilaceae
Also listed under: 11 other names
Description: tRNA-Lys
Rfam family: tRNA
About the family: Transfer RNA (tRNA) molecules are approximately 80 nucleotides in length.
Source: RNAcentral
GGGUCGUUAGCUCAGUUGGUAGAGCAGCGGACUUUUAAUCCGUUGGUCGCGUGUUCGAGUCACGCACGACCCACCA